GGAGGUCCCCAGGCUGGACGGAGAACAGCAGCAACUGCCCAGGGAGGCUCUGUGGCCUACAAUGAAUAGGUGGAGGCUCUUGAUACGGCAUGAGCAUCAGGGCCUCAGGGCAGCAACGGCCUCCUGAGGGACAGUGGCUCCCUAGGAUCUAGCAGACCUCAGCCCCAAAGUCCCCACACCAGAAGAGAAGAUGCUCAGUACCAGAGCAGAGGCAGGGAGAGAGCAGAGCACCAGAAAGCCAGUGCAGAAUUAUCUCCUCUGCCUCUGAACAGCACCAAACAGCUUUCAACAUAAAGGCUCAAGUGAAAAGGUCUUUCCUGCUGGAUGCCCUUGAGAAGUCAACCGCAACAGAAACUAGUCCCCUGCCAGGGUGAAAAGAAAACUGCUAAAUCAAGAAAUAAAGACUAUUUAAAUAUAUAAAAGUGAUGAUGAAAAGAAAAGAAAGGAAAAAAAAGGCUUCCAAAUUACCAGAAAGAAGACACAUAUACACCCCCAAAGCAAGGAAAACACAGACUACAAAUGAAGAUAAACAAGAUUUUUAGAAGCCAAUGGAAUAUUCAUGAGCCAAACCCUCAAAUAUAAAAAACAGAAAUUGUACUUUCUCUGAAAUCAUACAUUCUCUCAACACAUGGCAAACUUAAAAAUUAACAACAGGGUUUCCCUGGUGGCACAGUGGUUAAGAAUGCACCUGCCAAUGCAGGGGACACGGGUCUGAGCCCUGGUCUGGGAAGAUCCCACAUGCUGCAGAACAGCUAAACCCGUGCACCACAACUACUGAGCCUGUGCUCUAGAGCCUGCAAGCCACAACUACUGAGCCCUUGUACCACAGCUACUGAAGCCUGUGUGCCUAGAGCCCGUGCUCCACAACAAGAGAAGCCACCAUAAUGAGAAGCCUACACACCAUAAUGAAGACACACCCCCACCUGCUGCAACUAAAGAAAGCCCAAGCAGCAACGAAGACCCAAUGCAGCCAAAAAUGAAUAAAUAAAAAUAAAGUUCCCUUAAAAAAAAAAAAAAAUCAGAAAACACGAGGGCCUUUCUAC
Long non-coding RNA from Physeter macrocephalus (sperm whale), 1043 nucleotides. RefSeq lists it as uncharacterized. Lineage: Eukaryota; Metazoa; Chordata; Mammalia; Artiodactyla; Physeteridae. The transcript is spliced from 3 exons. The record is from RefSeq and is a predicted model, not a curated record.